GAACGGCAGCACGGACUUCGGUCUGGUGGCGAGUGGCGAACGGGUGAGUAAUGUAUCGGAACGUGCCCAGUAGCGGGGGAUAACUACGCGAAAGCGUAGCUAAUACCGCAUACGCCCUACGGGGGAAAGCAGGGGAUCGCAAGAUCUUGCACUAUUGGAGCGGCCGAUAUCGGAUUAGCUAGUUGGUGGGUAACGGCUCACCAAGGCGACGAUCCGUAGCUGGUUUGAGAGGACGACCAGCCACACUGGGACUGAGACACGGCCCAGACUCCUACGGGAGGCAGCAGUGGGGAAUUUUGGACAAUGGGGGAAACCCUGAUCCAGCCAUCCCGCGUGUGCGAUGAAGGCCUUCGGGUUGUAAAGCACUUUUGGCAGGAAAGAAACGUCGUGGGUUAAUACCCCGCGAAACUGACGGUACCUGCAGAAUAAGCACCGGCUAACUACGUGCCAGCAGCCGCGGUAAUACGCAGGGUGCAAGCGUUAAUCGGAAUUACUGGGCGUAAAGCGUGCGCAGGCGGUUCGGAAAGAAAGAUGUGAAAUCCCAGAGCUUAACUUUGGAACUGCAUUUUUAACUACCGGGCUAGAGUGUGUCAGAGGGAGGUGGAAUUCCGCGUGUAGCAGUGGAAUGCGUAGAUAUGCGGAGGAACACCGAUGGCGAAGGCAGCCUCCUGGGAUAACACUGACGCUCAUGCACGAAAGCGUGGGGAGCAAACAGGAUUAGAU
RNAcentral lists this ribosomal RNA (723 nucleotides) under uncultured Burkholderiales bacterium. Its description in RNAcentral is "SSU rRNA". It matches the Rfam family "Bacterial small subunit ribosomal RNA", at positions 64 to 783 of the family's 1533-position model. Lineage: Bacteria; Pseudomonadati; Pseudomonadota; Betaproteobacteria; Burkholderiales. The record is from RNAcentral.